UACGUAGGGUGCGAGCGUUGUCCGGAAUUAUUGGGCGUAAAGAGCUCGUAGGCGGUCUGUCGCGUCGGUCGUGAAAACCUGCAGCUUAACUGUGGGCGUGCGGUCGAUACGGGCAUGACUGGAGUUCGGCAGGGGAGACUGGAAUUCCUGGUGUAGCGGUGAAAUGCGCAGAUAUCAGGAGGAACACCGGUGGCGAAGGCGGGUCUCUGGGCCGAUACUGACGCUGAGGCACGAAAGCGUGGGGAGCAAACAGG
This 254-nucleotide ribosomal RNA is filed under the name uncultured bacterium. RNAcentral describes it as "partial 16S ribosomal RNA". It matches the Rfam family "Bacterial small subunit ribosomal RNA", at positions 524 to 776 of the family's 1533-position model. The record is from RNAcentral.